CCUGAAUUCUUUCCUCUCAAUUCCCUCCAUUCAUUAAAGGGAGCCAAAAUGAUCCCAUGGCUGAAGUUGUUCUCCUUGUUAGUGCUACUUCAAGGAGUCCAGUCUGAAGUCCAGUUGGUGGAGUCUGGAGGGGAUGUGAGACGACCUGGAGAGUCCCUCCAUCUCUCCUGCCAAGCCUCUGGAUUCUCCUUCAGCGACUAUGCCAUGAGCUGGGUGAGACAGGCUCCACGGAAGGGCCUGGAAUGGGUGGCAUUCAUACAUACAGCCUCAUCUCCAAUUUACUACUCAGAAAAAAUGAAGGGACGCUUCAUCAUCUCCAGGGAUGAUUCCCACAGCCAGCUGUAUCUGCAAAUGAACAGCCUCAAAGUAGAGGAUUCUGCUGUUUAUUUCUGUACGAAAUACACAGUGAGAGGAAGUGAAUCGGAUGCCCAGCAAAAACCUUCCCUUCCUCUCAGCAGCUCUCCAAAUGAUUCAGUCAAAGGAAGUUGUGUAUUUGAACUUAGAAGCUGA
Non-coding RNA from Thamnophis sirtalis, 510 nucleotides. The record is from the annotation of a RefSeq genome assembly. NCBI's taxonomy places the organism in Eukaryota, Metazoa, Chordata, Lepidosauria, Squamata, Natricidae.